RNAcentral lists this non-coding RNA (23 nucleotides) under Arabidopsis thaliana (thale cress). The record is from RNAcentral. Lineage: Eukaryota; Viridiplantae; Streptophyta; Magnoliopsida; Brassicales; Brassicaceae.
CACAGAUUCAACUCGCUCGACCU